CGCUUGCUACAGGCUUAACACAUGCAAGUCGAGGGGCAUCAGGAAGAAAGCUUGCUUUCUUUGCUGGCGACCGGCGCACGGGUGAGUAACACGUAUCCAACCUGCCCUUUACUCGGGGAUAGCCUUUCGAAAGAAAGAUUAAUACCCGAUAGCAUAAUGAUUCCGCAUGGUUUCAUUAUUAAAGGAUUCCGGUAAAGGAUGGGGAUGCGUUCCAUUAGGUUGUUGGUGAGGUAACGGCUCACCAAGCCUUCGAUGGAUAGGGGUUCUGAGAGGAAGGUCCCCCACAUUGGAACUGAGACACGGUCCAAACUCCUACGGGAGGCAGCAGUGAGGAAUAUUGGUCAAUGGGCGGUAGCCUGAACCAGCCAAGUAGCGUGAAGGAUGAAGGCUCUAUGGGUCGUAAACUUCUUUUAUAUAAGAAUAAAGUGCAGUAUGUAUACUGUUUUGUAUGUAUUAUAUGAAUAAGGAUCGGCUAACUCCGUGCCAGCAGCCGCGGUAAUACGGAGGAUUCGAGCGUUAUCCGGAUUUAUUGGGUUUAAAGGGAGCGUAGGUGGACUGGUAAGUCAGUUGUGAAAGUUUGCGGCUCAACCGUAAAAUUGCAGUUGAUACUGUCAGUCUUGAGUACAGUAGAGGUGGGCGGAAUUCGUGGUGUAGCGGUGAAAUGCUUAGAUAUCACGAAGAACUCCGAUUGCGAAGGCAGCUCACUGGACUGCAACUGACACUGAUGCUCGAAAGUGUGGGUAUCAAACAGGAUUAGAUACCCUGGUAGUCCACACAGUAAACGAUGAAUACUCGCUGUUUGCGAUAUACAGUAAGCGGCCAAGCGAAAGCAUUAAGUAUUCCACCUGGGGAGUACGCCGGCAACGGUGAAACUCAAAGGAAUUGACGGGGGCCCGCACAAGCGGAGGAACAUGUGGUUUAAUUCGAUGAUACGCGAGGAACCUUACCCGGGCUUAAAUUGCAGUGGAAUGAUGUGGAAACAUGUCAGUGAGCAAUCACCGCUGUGAAGGUGCUGCAUGGUUGUCGUCAGCUCGUGCCGUGAGGUGUCGGCUUAAGUGCCAUAACGAGCGCAACCCUUAUCUUCAGUUACUAACAGGUCAUGCUGAGGACUCUGGAGAGACUGCCGUCGUAAGAUGUGAGGAAGGUGGGGAUGACGUCAAAUCAGCACGGCCCUUACGUCCGGGGCUACACACGUGUUACAAUGGGGGGUACAGAAGGCAGCUAGCGGGUGACCGUAUGCUAAUCCCAAAAUCCUCUCUCAGUUCGGAUCGAAGUCUGCAACCCGACUUCGUGAAGCUGGAUUCGCUAGUAAUCGCGCAUCAGCCACGGCGCGGUGAAUACGUUCCCGGGCCUUGUACACACCGCCCGUCAAGCCAUGGGAGCCGGGGGUACCUGAAGUACGUAACAACAAGGAUCGUCCUAGGGUAAAACUGGUGACUG
Molecule: ribosomal RNA, 1440 nt
Filed under: uncultured organism
Description: SSU rRNA
Rfam family: Bacterial small subunit ribosomal RNA
Source: RNAcentral